RNAcentral lists this ribosomal RNA (573 nucleotides) under uncultured bacterium. RNAcentral's name for it is "partial 16S ribosomal RNA". It matches the Rfam family "Bacterial small subunit ribosomal RNA", at positions 355 to 921 of the family's 1533-position model. The record is from RNAcentral.
UGGGGAAUUUUGGACAAUGGGCGAAAGCCUGAUCCAGCAAUGCCGCGUGUGUGAAGAAGGCCUUCGGGUUGUAAAGCACUUUUGUCCGGAAAGAAAUCCUUGGCUCUAAUACAGUCGGGGGAUGACGGUACCGGAAGAAUAAGCACCGGCUAACUACGUGCCAGCAGCCGCGGUAAUACGUAGGGUGCAAGCGUUAAUCGGAAUUACUGGGCGUAAAGCGUGCGCAGGCGGUUUGCUAAGACCGAUGUGAAAUCCCCGGGCUCAACCUGGGAACUGCAUUGGUGACUGGCAGGCUAGAGUAUGGCAGAGGGGGGUAGAAUUCCACGUGUAGCAAUGAAAUGCGUAGAGAUGUGGAGGAAUACCGAUGGCGAAGGCAGCCCCCUGGGCCAAUACUGACGCUCAUGCACGAAAGCGUGGGGAGCAAACAGGAUUAGAUACCCUGGUAGUCCACGCCCUAAACGAUGUCAACUAGUUGUUGGGGAUUCAUUUCCUUAGUAACGUAGCUAACGCGUGAAGUUGACCGCCUGGGGAGUACGGUCGCAAGAUUAAAACUCAAAGGAAUUGACGGGGUCC